RNAcentral lists this long non-coding RNA (1161 nucleotides) under Ursus maritimus (polar bear). RNAcentral describes it as "lncRNA (ENSUMAG00000021262.1)". Lineage: Eukaryota; Metazoa; Chordata; Mammalia; Carnivora; Ursidae. The record is from RNAcentral.
GAUUCAGUGACAUUUGACGACGUGAUACAGCACCUCACAAAAGGAGUGGUUGAGACCGGACACCGAGCAGAGGAUAUUGGCAUAUUACAUGAAUGUGACCUCCGUGGGAGUUCCCGUUUUGAAUCCUUCCUGGUGUGAGGACACGUGCUGCUGGUAUCUGCCCCAUCCCUUAAUGCAGAUUGAGCGAAGCAUUCUGGUGAGUGAAAAAGAAACCUGACAAAUCAGAAAAUUGUGGGGGAAGUCCAGCUGAGCCUUUGGGGCGGGGGAGUAGCUGCUACUCUACCAUAGCAGGUGGUAGGGAGUGUGCGGCAAUGAGGCCUGACUGCCCCUUUCGUCUGUAGUCCCUGCUUCUGGUUGGGUGGGCACCAGCCAUCCUCCCUCCGCCGUCUCUAGGCCCUGUGUUCAGCAGCUGUCUCAGGAGGAGUGCGAUUCUUGACAAAGGAAAGUAACAUCCUUGCUUCCUCCUCUGCAGGGUAGCAGUGUUUUGUGGUUCUCAUCUCCGAAGGCAUCUUGGUGACUGAACAGCAGACGAUGGGUGAAGACGCCCAGCCUCAGGAGAUGGCAUCCACCAGCUCCCCACGGGCCGCUUCUAAGCAGGUGGUGUGAUGCUGCUGCCCCCCCCCCCCACUGCCAGCCUAGCCAUCUCUGCUCACAAGCCAGGCAAGACAGGCCAGAAAAUCCUUGUGUUACCUCACCCCUUUUCUGACCUUCAUUCAACAAGCAUUUAUUGACCACCUGCUGUAUACCAAGCUCCAAAAGCAACUGAAACAAUCCUCACCCUCAAGGACAGACACAUGGUCAGAAUGUUACAAGUGGGACCUGCUCUCACCAAGGGGGGCUCCUAGGAUUUGUACAUUUCAGGAUGCAGGUUACGCUUCAGUUAGAAAUAUGACAAAGCUAAACAAACAAGCCCAAUAUUAGCAAAUUAACCCCCUCCCCUGUCUGCAGGUCCUGUUCAUUUUACACCUCAACCUCCCCAGCCAGCCCUGGCUGGAAGGGAGCUCUCCCUCCUCCCUGCAGCCCGUUGUGCUUUCAGACCCGACCUCACUGCCUGGGAGUGGCCCGCACCCACAAACCGGGAGCCCCCCGAGGCAGGGUGGGGCAGAUCCACCCCGGGCCGCAGCACCCAACCCCUGCCCAGGCCCGGAGGAGGCCCUUGGC